UUCAUUUCUUCAGGUCAAUAUUUUAACUCCCAGAUUUUGGUAAACAUCUCCAGAUUUUGAAAGUACAUUUCCACAUCUCCAGAAUUCUUCAAGAAGUAGAAAAAAGCAAUGGAUUAGAGUAUCUUAGAGUAAUGACAUUCCGAAGUCUUACAGGUGAAGUACUUCUACUACGAAUAGAUUCGUAGUAGGAUCUACAACAGGUAUGAGCAACCCUUUUUGAGAAGCAGGCCACAUGAGACACGAGGCCACACUAUAAAGAAAUUCAAGAUGGCAGGGUAUGAUUUGAAAGGGACUUAGCUGCUCUUCCUAGCAGGUUAAGCAUCCACAAGGCGACUCCCUCAUUAAAAAUUGCAUUUGGUGGCGGUGGGAAGAUGGGAGAUGCAAUAGAAAAAAAUAUAAAUAUAUAAAUGAAGAAAUAUAUAUAUAAAUGAAAUAAUAAACAAACUGAAGAAUU
Long non-coding RNA from Octopus sinensis (East Asian common octopus), 454 nucleotides. RefSeq lists it as uncharacterized. The record is from RefSeq and is a predicted model, not a curated record. The transcript is spliced from 2 exons. NCBI's taxonomy places the organism in Eukaryota, Metazoa, Mollusca, Cephalopoda, Octopoda, Octopodidae.